RNAcentral lists this long non-coding RNA (334 nucleotides) under Elaeis guineensis (African oil palm). RNAcentral's name for it is "long non-coding RNA (EGUI_LNC032430)". The record is from RNAcentral. Lineage: Eukaryota; Viridiplantae; Streptophyta; Magnoliopsida; Arecales; Arecaceae.
GGUUUAGGAUUUAGGGUUUGAGAUUUGGGGAUUGGGAUUUAGGAUUGAGGGUUUAAGAUUUAGGAUUUGGGGUUUUAGUGUUUUAGGAUUUAAGGGUUUAGGAUUUAGGGUUUAGGAAUUUGGGGUUUAGGGCUUUGGAUUUAAGAUUUAGGAUUUACGGUUCGGGGUUUAGGGUUUAGGGUUCAAGAUUUAAGGGUAUAGGAUUUAGGGUUUAGGGUUAAGGAUUUAAAAUUUAGGGUUUAGGAUAUAGGAUUUAGGGUUUGGGGUUUAGGGUUCAAGAUUUUAGGGUUUAGGGAUUUAGGAUUUAGGGUUUAAGGGUUUAGGAUUUAGGAUU